This 423-nucleotide ribosomal RNA is filed under the name uncultured bacterium. Its description in RNAcentral is "bacterial SSU rRNA". It matches the Rfam family "Bacterial small subunit ribosomal RNA", at positions 202 to 622 of the family's 1533-position model. The record is from RNAcentral.
AAGACCUUGUGCUUUUGGAGCGGCCGAUGCCUGAUUAGCUAGUUGGUGGGGUAAAGGCCUACCAAGGCGACGAUCAGUAGUUGGUCUGAGAGGACGACCAGCCACACUGGGACUGAGACACGGCCCAGACUCCUACGGGAGGCAGCAGUGGGGAAUUUUGGACAAUGGGCGAAAGCCUGAUCCAGCAAUGCCGCGUGAGUGAAGAAGGCCUUCGGGUUGUAAAGCUCUUUCAGUCGAGAAGAAAAAGCUGCAGUGAAUAACUGUAGUUCAUGACGGUAUCGACAGAAGAAGCACCGGCUAACUACGUGCCAGCAGCCGCGGUAAUACGUAGGGUGCGAGCGUUAAUCGGAAUUACUGGGCGUAAAGGGUGCGCAGGCGGCUUUGUAAGUCAGAUGUGAAAUCCCCGGGCUUAACCUGGGAAUU